This 588-nucleotide long non-coding RNA is filed under the name Homo sapiens (human). RNAcentral's name for it is "HSALNT0174146". Lineage: Eukaryota; Metazoa; Chordata; Mammalia; Primates; Hominidae. The record is from RNAcentral.
UGGGGAGGACUAUCCGUGCAGCUUCCACUGUUUGUCUGGAUGGAGUACAGAGCUUCCGCAGGUGCUCCAUCUUCGUCGGCAGCAAGGUUCAGAGGGAAAAGGUCCAGGACAAAGCUUAAGGAAGGACAGGAGCUGCUCCUAAUGUCACAAGGCUCCCAGACAUCUACCCAGCCUCCUUUGUCUCUGACCGGUCUCGGUCCAUCUGGGGCAGCCAUCCUUCUCCUUGUUCCUGGAGCUCCCAGCUUUAGAUCACUGGCACUCCUGGGGGGCCAUCUCGUCGAUUUUGACACUUUUAUCUUCUGAGGAUGAUCCUUUUCCACACUGUAACUUCCCAGCCCUGAAUUUGUCCAGAAACUGAAAACCACUGGACGUGGGGCCAGACCCCGCCAGAUGCUUUGUGUGACAACUUCUGGUGCCCAGUGUGAACGUGGAGAUACUUUGCCCUCUCAGCGGACUCAUCUCAGUGGAUUAAUCAGAAGUGCACACAGCUUUUGGGGUUUGCUGUGGAGAAGCUUGUGCUGCUUGGAAGGACUGUGGUUCAUGAAAAAGCCCCUAGAUACCCUCAGCUCCUCCUACCCCAUCCCUGCU